Molecule: ribosomal RNA, 459 nt
Filed under: uncultured bacterium
Lineage: Bacteria
Description: partial 16S ribosomal RNA
Rfam family: Bacterial small subunit ribosomal RNA
Source: RNAcentral
CCUACGGGAGGCAGCAGUGAGGAAUAUUGGUCAAUGGGCGCGAGCCUGAACCAGCCAAGCCGCGUGAAGGAAGAAGGUGCCAAGCAUCGUAAACUUCUUUUGUCAGGGAACAAAAUCAGGCUCGAGAGCCUGACCGAGUGUACUUGAAGAAAAAGCAUCGGCUAACUCCGUGCCAGCAGCCGCGGUAAUACGGAGGAUGCGAGCGUUAUCCGGGUUUAGUGGGUUUAAAGGGUGCGCAGGCGGACUGGUAAGUCAGCGGUAAAAGCCCGGGGCUCAACCCCGGCCAGCCGUUGAAACUGGCAGUCUGGAGUUGGCGAGAGGUAGGCGGAAUGCGCAGUGUAGCGGUGAAAUGCUUAGAUAUUGCGCAGAACUCCGAUUGCGAAGGCAGCAUACCGGAGGCGAUCUGACGCUGAGGCACGAAAGCGUGGGUAUCGAACAGGAUUAGAUACCCCUGUAGUC